This 279-nucleotide ribosomal RNA is filed under the name uncultured bacterium. RNAcentral's name for it is "partial 16S ribosomal RNA". It matches the Rfam family "Bacterial small subunit ribosomal RNA", at positions 506 to 784 of the family's 1533-position model. The record is from RNAcentral.
UGCCAGCCGCCGCGGUAACACGGGGGGCGCAAGCGUUAUUCGGAAUUAUUGGGCGUAAAGGGCGCGCAGGCGGCCAUGUAAGUUGGGGGUGAAAUCCCGGGGCUCAACCCCGGAACUGCCUCCAAAACUACAUAGCUAGAGGAUGUGAGAGGAUAGUGGAAUUCCGAGUGUAGAGGUGAAAUUCGUAGAUAUUCGGAAGAACACCAGUGGCGAAGGCGACUGUCUGGCACAUUUCUGACGCUGAGGUGCGAAGGCGUGGGUAGCGAACGGGAUUAGAUA